GUUCAAGAGCCUUCCUUGCGAUCGGGGUU
This 29-nucleotide non-coding RNA is filed under the name Homo sapiens (human). Lineage: Eukaryota; Metazoa; Chordata; Mammalia; Primates; Hominidae. The record is from RNAcentral.